This 484-nucleotide ribosomal RNA is filed under the name uncultured bacterium. RNAcentral's name for it is "partial 16S ribosomal RNA". It matches the Rfam family "Bacterial small subunit ribosomal RNA", at positions 30 to 507 of the family's 1533-position model. The record is from RNAcentral.
AUUGAACGCUGGCGGCAGGCCUAACACAUGCAAGUCGAGCGGAGGAAGGGAGCUUGCUCCUGGAUUCAGCGGCGGACGGGUGAGUAAUGCCUAGGAAUCUGCCUGGUAGUGGGGGAUAACGUCCGGAAACGGGCGCUAAUACCGCAUACGUCCUGCGGGAGAAAGUGGGGGAUCUUCGGACCUCACGCUAUCAGAUGAGCCUAGGUCGGAUUAGCUAGUUGGUGGGGUAAAGGCCUACUAAGGCGACGAUCCGUAACUGGUCUGAGAGGAUGAUCAGUCACACUGGAACUGGAACACGGUCCAGACGCCUACGGGAGGCAGCAGAGGGGAAUGUUGGACAGUAGGCGAAAGCCUGAUCCAGCCAUGCCGCGUGUGUGAAGAAGGUCUUCGGAUUGUAAAGCACUUUAAGUGGGGAGGAAGGGCAGUAAGUUGAUACCUUGCUGUUUUGACGUUACCAACAGAAUAAGCACCGGCUAACUUCGUG